Molecule: ribosomal RNA, 111 nt
Filed under: Caerostris extrusa
Lineage: Eukaryota; Metazoa; Arthropoda; Arachnida; Araneae; Araneidae
Source: RNAcentral
AACGGCCAUACCAUGCUGAAUAUACCGGUUCUCUUUAGAUCACCGAAGUCAAGCAUCAUUGGGCGCGGUCAGUACUUGGGUGGGUGACCACCUGGGAAUCCCGCGUACCGU